UCAGCCCCGGCGCUCUCUCAUCCCUUCUCUCUUCCUUGGUGCUUCUUUUUCCUGCUCGGUGAGUUUGUUUGUUUGUUUGUUUUUGAGACAGAGUCUCACUUUGCUUCCCAGGCUGGAGUGCAGUGGUGCGAUCUCAGCUUACUGCAGCCUCCGCUUCCGGGGUUCAAGCGAUUCUCCUGCCUCAGCCUGCCAAGUAGCUGGGACUACCGGCGCCCACCACCACGCCUGGCUAAUUUUUGAAUUUUUAGUAGAGAGUGGGUUUCACUAUGUUGGCCAGGCUGGUCUGGAACGCCUGACCUCAAGUGAUCCGUCCGCCUCGGCCUUCCAAAGUUCUGGGAUUACAGGCGUGAGCCACCGCGCCCGGCCUGAGUGAGUCUUAAUCCGUGGCCAUCUGCGUUCCUGCAGGCUUCAUCUGGCCCUAUGGUCCCCUGGCAUCAUGGCUGCCCUCAGAUCCCUUGUGAAGCCCAAGAUCGUCAAAAAGAGAACCAAGAAAUUCAUCCGGCACCAGUCAGACCGAUAUGUCAAAAUCAAGAUGAGAAGAAUAAUGUCUGGGGUGAAGGUGAAGCACCCAGCCCAAGACUCAGCAGCCAGGAAGUGGCCCAGCGCUCUUUAUACCACGGGUGCAGGAAUUCACACAGAAAAGUGGAGGCCAAGGCGUGAGAAUUCCUCAAUGACUGCCCUCUAAAGGAAGAGGUCCAUUUCUGGGGAAUGGAGCUCAGCUCAUGUGCAUUUGGGAAACUCCUCCAGCGCUAUCAGAUUACUGGAGUCUGAGAGGAUGGUGACCAGCUAUCCGCCACCAGGAGGAUGCAAACCAGUUCCUGAGAACCUACUGAAUCCUCACAGCAGCCUGUGACGUAGGUCCAAUCCCUUUUCACAGACAAGAAACCCAACCCUGGAGAGAUCGGGAACCCAUCUGCCUCAGUCAGUUACCACGUGACAGCUCACACUGCCCACUGCUGUCUCCUACUGUGUGGCCACUCUGCCCCUGGAGCAAGGCUGUGGCCCAGAUGCCCAGACGCCAGUGAGCUCUGCUCCCGUGUCCUCAGGGCUUUUGCCUGCUGAUAUGGUUUGGCUGUGUCCCCACCCAGAUCUCAUCUUGAAUUCCCAUGUGUUGUGGGAGGGACCCCGUGGCGGGUAAUUGAAUCAUGGGGCAGGUCUUUCCCAUGCUGUUCUCAUGAUAGUAAGUCUCACGAGAUCUGAUGGUUUUAAAAAGAGGAGUUCCCCUGCACAAGCUCUCUGUUUGCCUGCUGCCAUCCAUAUAAGCUGUGACUUGCUCUUCCUUGCCUUCUGCCAUGAUCAUGAGGCUUCCUUAGCCAUGUGGAACUGCAAGUCUAAUUAGACCUCUUUCUUUUGUAAA
RNAcentral lists this long non-coding RNA (1357 nucleotides) under Homo sapiens (human). RNAcentral's name for it is "novel transcript". The record is from RNAcentral. Lineage: Eukaryota; Metazoa; Chordata; Mammalia; Primates; Hominidae.